AUUGAACGCUGGCGGCAGGCCUAACACAUGCAAGUCGAGCGAGCGGCGGACGGGUGAGUAAUGUAUGGGGACUGCCCGAUAGAGGGGGAGAACUACUGGAAACGGUGGCUAAUACCGCAUACUAUCGGAUAACCCAUAUGGGAUUAGCUAGUAGGUGAGGUAAUGGCGCACCUAGGCGACGAUGCCUAGCUGGUCUGAGAGGAUGAUCAGCCACACUGUGACUGAGACACUGCCCAGACUCCUACGGAGGCAGCAGUGGGGAAUAUUGCACAAUGGGCGCAAGCCUGAUGCAGCCCUGCCGCGUGUGUGAAGAAGGCCUUAGGGUUGUAAAGUACUUUCAGUCGGGAGGCGUUACCGGCAGAAGAAGCACCGGCUAACUCCGUGCCAGCAGCCGCGGUAAUAC
This 403-nucleotide ribosomal RNA is filed under the name uncultured bacterium. Its description in RNAcentral is "partial 16S ribosomal RNA". It matches the Rfam family "Bacterial small subunit ribosomal RNA", at positions 30 to 526 of the family's 1533-position model. The record is from RNAcentral.